This 147-nucleotide long non-coding RNA is filed under the name Cavia porcellus (domestic guinea pig). Its description in RNAcentral is "lncRNA (ENSCPOG00000039743.1)". Lineage: Eukaryota; Metazoa; Chordata; Mammalia; Rodentia; Caviidae. The record is from RNAcentral.
UGAAGACCCAGAGGUGGCUGCAGUGGGGCACACCUAUGAAAUGAUGAUUUCAGUAUUUGAUGAUAUGCAUCCCUCUCAUACAGUCACUGUGACAAUCAUUGUGGAGCUUACUCCUGCCAAUGACUUCAGCCCUCUGUUUAAAGCUGC